CGCCAAGCCAAGAGGUAUGCAGCCCUGGGGGGCCAGAGAACGCGGCUAGAGGGUUAAACAGGCUCCGAGGAAACGCGUGUGAAUAACCCCAGAGCGCGUGUCCUCGUGCCCAAUGGUGGUGGACGGGCCCUGAGUCCUGCAGCCAAGGGCGACAGGGCAGCUGACACGAUUAGGAAGACUGCGUAGCCGAGGGACGCCUGAGCUGGCCCUGAGAGAAUGAACAGGUAGAGGCAGCUGGGGCCCUGAAGGACACCCCAACGGGGACCCCAAGGACACCCCAAGAAGGACACUGCAGGAACUGUGGGCUGCUCCAAGAAUUACAGAGUUCGUGUUUCAUCGAAACAGAAACAGCAAGAUUGACAAAUGUCAGAGGGCAUCUAGCCUGUGAAAGGAGCCAAAAGCCAGAGAUCCAGAGUCUGAGAUGGAGGACCGUGUAGCCAGAUGGAAACGAGGAACCCAGCAGGGGGCAGUAGAGGUUCUUCUGUCCCCAUCCUGGGCAGGCAUUUCCAGUUAAUCCAGCUUCUGAGCCCAUCAUUAAAACAUACCUAAUUCCAAUCAUCCACGGUCUCCUCGUUGUCAUGCAAAUGAAGAUAGGCGGAGUCAGAGUAGAACAGGAGGAAUAAAGGUUUGUACAUAGAAUCCAAACCCUUGAGAAGGACUUUGUUUUUCCAAACCACAGGAGACUCCUAUUCAUAAAGAAUGGGUAAAUUUCUUAGAUAGCCUCUGGACAUGUUAUUGUGAGGAUUUUUUUCUUUCUCUUUCAGUUGGGACAGGACAAUAAAACUUUAAUCAGCAA
This 796-nucleotide long non-coding RNA is filed under the name Mustela putorius furo (domestic ferret). RNAcentral describes it as "lncRNA (ENSMPUG00000027776.1)". Lineage: Eukaryota; Metazoa; Chordata; Mammalia; Carnivora; Mustelidae. The record is from RNAcentral.